CGAGCAACGCUGCGGCAGGCUCCACAUGUAGUCGAACGGAUCCUUCGGGAUUAGUGGCGGACGGGUGAGUACACGUGGGAACGUGCCCUUUGGUUCGGAACAACUCAGUGUAAACUUGAGCUAAUACCGGAUGUGCCCUUCGGGGGAAAGAUUUAUCGCCAUUGGAGCGGCCCGCGUCUGAUUAGCUAGUUGGUGGGGUAAAGGCCCACCAAGGCGACGAUCAGUAGCUGGUCUGAGAGGAUGAUCAGCCACAUUGGGACUGAGACACGGUCCAAACUCCUACGGGAGGCAGCAGUGGGGAAUCUUGCGCAAUGGGCGAAAGCCUGACGCAGCCAUGCCGCGUGAAUGAUGAAGGUCUUAGGAUUGUAAAAUUCUUUCACCGGGGGCGAUAAUGACGGUACCCGGAGAAGAAGCCCGGCUAACUUCGUGCCAGCAGCCGCGGU
Molecule: ribosomal RNA, 443 nt
Filed under: uncultured Caulobacter sp.
Lineage: Bacteria; Pseudomonadati; Pseudomonadota; Alphaproteobacteria; Caulobacterales; Caulobacteraceae
Description: bacterial SSU rRNA
Rfam family: Bacterial small subunit ribosomal RNA
Source: RNAcentral